Molecule: ribosomal RNA, 494 nt
Filed under: uncultured bacterium
Lineage: Bacteria
Description: bacterial SSU rRNA
Rfam family: Bacterial small subunit ribosomal RNA
Source: RNAcentral
UAGUCCACGCCGUAAACGAUGAUUACUCGUUGUUGGCGAUACACUGUCAGCGACUGAGCGAAAGCAUUAAGUAAUCCACCUGGGGAGUACGAUCGCAAGGUUGAAACUCAAAGGAAUUGACGGGGGCCCGCACAAGCGGUGGAGCAUGUGGUUUAAUUCGAUGAUACGCGAGGAACCUUACCUGGGCUUAAAUGAAGAAUGACAUCUCGGGAAACCGGGACUCUCUUCGGAGCAAUCUUCAAGGUGCUGCAUGGUUGUCGUCAGCUCGUGCCGUGAGGUGUCGGGUUAAGUCCCAUAACGAGCGCAACCCCUAUCGUUAGUUGCUAGCAGGUAAUGCUGAGGACUCUAGCGAGACUGCCACCGUAAGGUGAGAGGAAGGUGGGGAUGACGUCAAAUCAUCAUGGCCCUUAUGUCCUGGGCUACACACGUGCUACAAUGGUCGGUACAGAGGGCAGCCACUACGCGAGUAGGAGCGAAUCCUUAAAACCGAUCUC